UGCGCAGGCGGUUUGUUAAGCGAGAUGUGAAAGCCCCGGGCUCAACCUGGGAAUUGCAUUUCGAACUGACAAACUAGAGUCUUGUAGAGGGGGGUAGAAUUCCAGGUGUAGCGGUGAAAUGCGUAGAGAUCUGGAGGAAUACCGGUGGCGAAGGCGGCCCCCUGGACAAAGACUGACGCUCAGGCACGAAAGCGUGGGGAGCAAACA
Molecule: ribosomal RNA, 207 nt
Filed under: uncultured Shewanella sp.
Lineage: Bacteria; Pseudomonadati; Pseudomonadota; Gammaproteobacteria; Alteromonadales; Shewanellaceae
Description: partial 16S ribosomal RNA
Rfam family: Bacterial small subunit ribosomal RNA
Source: RNAcentral